CAAGUGACUGCAGGUCUACUUAUUUCAUGUAGAAGAAGAAGUGAAGGGCAUACAUUUAUGUGAACUCAACAAACUCCUUCACUGAGGAAAGACAUUUUGCCAACGUGAUUUGCAGGCAUUGAUUCCCCAGUGUUGUGUUUUCAGUUUCACAAGUAAUAGUUACACCUGUUGAAGAUUUCAAAAUGGACAAUAUAUAGAUUCCAGGUAUUUAAAUCGUCCAAGUUCUUUGCAACUUUCAACAUCUCAGACAGAUUGGAAAGUGGUUUCACCUGUGGAAUUGCAAGAGGGUGAGGCAGUUUGUCUGGACCUCCACCUGGACAUCAAGGAGAAAGAUGAACUCUCGUCUCCAUCUGCUCAGCAGUCCACCUUUUGGAACGCUCUUCUGUUCAUGUCGAGCUCUUGGCCUCUUUCUUCUCGACUGAUGAUCAGCCAGAUAACAUUACCUCCUGACCAAUCCGACGCCUGGAUCCGUACGUCAUCCCACAGGACAGCUGAAGACAUGAAAGGCAAGAGAGAGGGGGA
Long non-coding RNA from Etheostoma cragini (Arkansas darter), 522 nucleotides. RefSeq lists it as uncharacterized. The transcript has 3 exons. Lineage: Eukaryota; Metazoa; Chordata; Actinopteri; Perciformes; Percidae. The record is from RefSeq and is a predicted model, not a curated record.